AAUACUAAUAAUUAAUAGUUAAUGAUGAGGAUGGUGAUGUCACCCUGUCUUCGGCCAAGAGGGGGGGGGGGAAGAAGGGGGAGAAUUGUAUAAAAGUUUCUCUCUGAUUUAACUCUUUAAAAGGCUGAACGCGCGAAGUCUGACUUCAUCUCUUCACCGAGAGAGAAAAUCACGUACACUCCUUUUUCACUUCUGGCCUUUCUCUUACUUUUUAUAAAGAGAUUUCCUAUGGCACCGAGCAGUUCCAAUAAAGCAGUUUCGGUCUACCCGAGGCUCUCUUGAGCGCAGGGUAUUAAAACCAGCAAUCUGGCAAGGCGUCUCCAACGUCGAAGGGGCUGAGAGACUGCUAGCCAGUGCAGAUGUCAUGAAGCCAGUCUGGCCUGAUUUUUGUUUUGUUUGCUAUUAUUGUUCCAAUACUUUGUUCGAGUAAGAAUUAAGAAAAUCUGUAUCCUGGGAUCUGUAGUAGAAUUAUGGGUCACUUUUUCCUAUGCUCCGUGAACAGAGUCAAACAGAAAUAAAGCGGUUUGGGCCAAGCCUAUUUUAGACUGAAAGUGUAAUCUCUACAGAAAGAAUUCGUGGUGGCCGCGGCGGUUGCAGCAACAGCACUCUCUAAAGAGUUUAAGCUUAUCUCUCCUGUUUGCUGCGAUUUAUGAUUUUUUGCCAUAAAAUGUGUGUUUUAAGGGUGAGGGAGGAGAUCAUGGUUGUCCUCCCUUCCCCCCCCCCGAAGUGAAAGGGUGUGAUGUAAACCAGCAACAAAUUAUUUCACUUGUAUUAGUGGAUGAUGAAGAUACCUAAUAAAUCUGUGUUCUUUGCUCAUAAUUAGGUUUGGUAGUUAGGAAAAUUGCUUACUACUUUCUUUCUAGAACAUAAAGUACUCUUGGUGAGGCAACCUGAGGGCAAAUGACGACCUUCGCCAAGUUAGACGUUUCCGGGGAAAGAAAACCAGGACCUGGCAUUGACAAGAUCACUCCAAGAGAUGGAGGGUAUAACGCAAAAUCCAGCAAUCACUUAUCUAUUUUUGGGAGUCAGACCGACGUAGACAUGAGCCUGAAAGUAACUCAGGAGGAAUUCCAGGGUACGGGUUGACUUGGGGGUGAAGGAUUCCCCCUAUAGCUGUGGCAGAAGAGAAAGCGAUCCGCUGCUGCUUUUACUAGCACAUAUUAUUACCCUUCUUUUAAGUCCGCGGCAAGGAGUUUUAAACUUCCUUCCGAAAAAAAAAAAAACAAAAAAAACCGGCCCAGCGCAUAUCUCUCCGGCUCAUGUCACGGGGAAAUACAACAGUUUUCUGAACUGGCUGCGGUGAAAUCAUCAUCAUCAUCAUCUCAUCAUCAUCAUCAUCAUCAUCAUCAUCAUCAUCAUCAUCAUCGCUAAGACUCCCCAGUUCAGAACAUUCCUGACAAGUUACAUUCAACUGAUUCUCCAAGAGCCACAGCUUACAUACCAGAAUCAUCUCACCAAUGAAAUGCAGCCAUUCCUGGGAUGCUGAGUGGAGUCCAGAUGUUGGGCAACAAACUGCACCAGAAAGCAGGCGAAAGUUUGAACAGGAAUGUAAAGGAAUCACCCUCCCCAACAUUAUGCAAAACCUUUUGUGUGUAUUUGUCUUAAUGUGCAUGCAGCAAAAUCAGAAUAAUAGUUUGUUGUAUUUGUGUCUUAAAUCAUCCAAUGGGCAUUCUUCAUACUUUUAUCUAUAUAUUUUUAAACAUCCAGAAGCUAGAUAGAUUUAAUAAAUCUUCAAUUAUCUCUGG
Crotalus tigris (Tiger rattlesnake) is the source of this 1745-nucleotide long non-coding RNA. RefSeq lists it as uncharacterized. The record is from RefSeq and is a predicted model, not a curated record. The transcript is spliced from 2 exons. NCBI's taxonomy places the organism in Eukaryota, Metazoa, Chordata, Lepidosauria, Squamata, Viperidae.